Molecule: ribosomal RNA, 425 nt
Filed under: uncultured bacterium
Lineage: Bacteria
Description: bacterial SSU rRNA
Rfam family: Bacterial small subunit ribosomal RNA
Source: RNAcentral
GUGGGGAAUAUUGGACAAUGGGCGAAAGCCUGAUCCAGCAAUGCCGCGUGAGUGAUGAAGGCCUUAGGGUUGUAAAGCUCUUUUACCCGGGAUGAUAAUGACAGUACCGGGAGAAUAAGCCCCGGCUAACUCCGUGCCAGCAGCCGCGGUAAUACGGAGGGGGCUAGCGUUGUUCGGAAUUACUGGGCGUAAAGCGCACGUAGGCGGCUUUGUAAGUUAGAGGUGAAAGCCCGGGGCUCAACUCCGGAAUUGCCUUUAAGACUGCAUCGCUAGAAUUGUGGAGAGGUAAGUGGAAUUCCGAGUGUAGAGGUGAAAUUCGUAGAUAUUCGGAAGAACACCAGUGGCGAAGGCGACUUACUGGACACAUAUUGACGCUGAGGUGCGAAAGCGUGGGGAGCAAACAGGAUUAGAAACCCCAGUAGUCC